UUCUCCUUAGCUUCCUUGGUAGCAACGUUCGCUUACUCGACCUAGUCCUCUGACUUAUCGGGCUCCCUUAAACGAAUAUGAGCUCUGGAGCAGUCCAACUCUCCAGCUGCUUCGAUCAUACCUCUGUAUGAUCAAGUCCCUCCCAUGGGACUCACUAGUACUUGCAUUCGAACUUUUCCCUUGGUGGAACACAGCCCCCAUAUGCUGAUGACUAAGGCUUUCAUCCGAUGCAAAAUUCGAUGCACGCACGGAAGACCCGUCUCUACGGUACCAUGGCCUUCACUCCUUGAAUCCAUAGCCCUUCUU
This 306-nucleotide long non-coding RNA is filed under the name Musa acuminata (dwarf banana). RNAcentral describes it as "long non-coding RNA (MACU_LNC002630)". The record is from RNAcentral. Lineage: Eukaryota; Viridiplantae; Streptophyta; Magnoliopsida; Zingiberales; Musaceae.